UAAAUUUGCAAAGGAAUGAGAAUAACUAAAAUAAAGUUGAAAAAGAUUAAAGUUGCAAGAAUCAUUCUACCAGAUUUCAAGAUUUACUAUAUGUGUAGUACUCAAGGCUGUGGUAUUGUUGGGGAGACGGGCACAUGGAUCAAUGGAACAGAACAGGGAACCCAGAAAUCCAGAGGCAGUCCCAACACUAGUACUGCCAACUGAUUUUUAGAAAUGUUUUUAUUAGUGCAUUAUAGUUGCACAUAAUAGUCGUGUUCUUUUUGACAUAAUCAUACAUACAUGGAAUAUAACUGGCUCCAUUUCAGUCCCCUGUGUCCCCCCCGCCCUUCCCUUCCUCCACUCUAUUGGUCUUCUUUCUAUUUAUUUGUAGGGUUUUUUUUGUUGUUGUUUUGUUUUGUUUUUUAAAGUUUUGGUGCUUGCUAAGUGAAAUAAGCCAGACUCAGAAAGUCAAGGGUUGGAUGUUUUCUCUCAUAUUUGGAGUCUAGAGGAAAAUAAGGGGAAAAGUGGGGGAUUCCAUGAACCGAGGGCUAAUUACGAAGGAGAGGAAGAGGUUAGAGGGGAGAGAGGAGGGAUGGGAAAAGGGAGGAACUGAAUGAAUGAAAUUGACCAAAUUAUAUGAAUACACCACAGUGCGUUUCACCUGUAUGUGUAUCUAUAAAGCAACAAAUAAUUUUUUGAUAAAGGUACAUAAGUAACUCAAUGGAAGAAAGUUUUUUUUUUUUAAACUAAUGGCACAGGAGUAAUUGGACAUCUACAGGUGAAAACCACCCCAAAAAAUAUAGGGGAAAAAAGAAAAUAAAGCAAAAGAACCUUGCCUUGACAUAAACUUUGUCUGACACCUUAUAUAAAAAUGAACUCAAAAUGGAUUGUAGCUUUGGGGCUGGGGAUGUGGCUCAAGCGGUAGAGCGCUCGCCUGGCAUGCGUGCGGCCUGGGUUCGAUCCUCAGCACCACAUACAAACAAAGAUGUUGUGUCCAC
Molecule: long non-coding RNA, 977 nt
Filed under: Marmota monax (woodchuck)
Lineage: Eukaryota; Metazoa; Chordata; Mammalia; Rodentia; Sciuridae
Rfam family: tRNA (bases 883-951)
Source: RNAcentral